UCUCCCAGGAUGGUGAAUAGAGGACUUCUAAAGCCCAGAGACAGAUUACCAUUUAAAUGGUGUGAGGUUUAAGUUUGCUGCCUGCUGAAGACUGCAGGGGCAGCUAUACUGUACGAGACAAUGGGCCGUCACACGGCGAGCCCGUCCUGGGAUUAGAAUUGAACUCUUCUGCUGAUUAACUCUCUACGGUACACAGGUUAAGUCGAGUCUGAGAGGAAGCCCAGCAGUUAGAGAAGCAUCGCCUGGCGCUGCCUCGUUUGAUCAUUUUCUUAAGAGCAAUCUCAAAUCAAAACGACUACUAUUACUCCAAGUGAAUGUAGCUGCUCCUCAGUUUCAUUAACUCUCUUUAUGGGGAGACGAGCACAGUGACUGGGUGAGCUGCUGAGUGUUACUGGAUGGAGCACUGGUUUAUAAAGAGGUUCAUUUAAAGCAGUCAGGCACAAACUGGCUGUUAGGAAACAUGUUGUGGAGGGCGGAAACAUGGAGGCAGGAAAGCAGCAGAAAAUGUGACAGAAGUAACCAAAACACUGCUGUCCGAGUCGGAAGCCCACAGCGUUCCAAAGUGUUUCCAGGACAGUGAGCACAGUGUGAGCCGGGAACACAAACUCACUGCAACCAACCAUUCUCCCAGGUACUACCAGGAAGUUAGACUCGGAUGAAUAUCGAUGACGGAUAGUUUAUGAUAACAAAAUACUGGCAAAUAUACAGAUUAAAGGGUAAAAGCUUACACUAAAGGUGUCUAACAUAAGGCACGGGGGCCAGAAUCACCACAACAAAGACUCCCAUGUGGCCAGGACUCAUAUCGCGAUAUGACAUUUCUUAUCCCAAUAACAAUAUACAUCGCAAAAUAGUUUAUUUUCUGUAAAUACAGUGAAUCUCAGGCAACUCGACUUGUGUGACGUGUUUUCAGCUGGGCGUCGAUUGUAAGCGCCAUUUAUAGUUACCUCGUGUUUUUAUCUGAGGUGAUUUAUUUGAUGCAUAUUCAGAAAUUUGAUGUUUGAGAAUAAUGUCGAUCGAUCACAAACAAUAGCAUAAUAUGAAACAAUAGAUGUCUACAUAUCGUCAUCUGACACAUAUCAUUAUAUCAAACAGCACUACAUGUGGCCAGCUGGAAGUGUUUGAAAAUGUCACGAGAGUUUCAACUUUGAACGGUAUUGUCCAGGUUUUGAAGCUUUUUCUAUUUAGAAAAGUAUAAACUCAUCUCCACCAAAUUAGUGAGGAAAUAUAUAAAUGACAGGAAAGUUCAUGUUUUUCCAUUUAAAAAACAAAUAUUUU
Long non-coding RNA from Haplochromis burtoni (Burton's mouthbrooder), 1275 nucleotides. RefSeq lists it as uncharacterized. The record is from RefSeq and is a predicted model, not a curated record. Lineage: Eukaryota; Metazoa; Chordata; Actinopteri; Cichliformes; Cichlidae. The transcript is spliced from 3 exons.